This 793-nucleotide ribosomal RNA is filed under the name uncultured archaeon. RNAcentral describes it as "bacterial SSU rRNA". It matches the Rfam family "Archaeal small subunit ribosomal RNA", at positions 85 to 879 of the family's 1478-position model. The record is from RNAcentral.
ACUGCUCAGUAACACGUGGACAACCUGCCCUUAGGUUGGGUAUAAACCCGGGAAACUGGGUAUAAUACCCGAUAGGUCUCGAUUGCUGGAAUGCAUCGAGAUUUAAAGCUCCGGCGCCUAAGGAUGGGUCUGCGGCCUAUCAGGUAGUAGUGGGUGUAGCGUACCUACUAGCCUACGACGGGUACGGGUUGUGAGAGCAAGAGCCCGGAGAUGGAUUCUGAGACACGAAUCCAGGCCCUACGGGGUGCAGCAGGCGCGAAAACUUUACAAUGCUGGCAACAGCGAUAAGGGAACCUCGAGUGCCAGGUUACAAAUCUGGCUGUCGAGAUGCCUAAAAAGCAUUUCAUAGCAAGGGCCGGGCAAGACCGGUGCCAGCCGCUGCGGUAACACCGGCGGCUCGAGUGGUAACCGUUAUUAUUGGGUCUAAAGGGUCUGUAGCCGGCCGGAUAAGUCUCUUGAGAAAUCUGGCAGCUUAACUGUCAGGCUUUCAGGAGAUACUGUCUGGCUCGAGGCCGGGAGAGGUGAGAGGUACUUCAGGGGUAGGGGUGAAAUCUUGUAAUCCUUGAAGGACCACCAGUGGCGAAGGCGUCUCACCAGAACGGACCUGACGGCAAGGGACGAAAGCUAGGGGCACGAACCGGAUUAGAUACCCGGGUAGUCCUAGCCGUAAACGAUACUCGCUAGGUGUCGGCCACGGUGCGACCGUUGUCGGUGCCGUAGGGAAGCCGUGAAGCGAGCCACCUGGGAAGUACGGCCGCAAGGCUGAAACUUAAAGGAAUUGGCGGGGGAGCAC